This 306-nucleotide long non-coding RNA is filed under the name Gallus gallus (chicken). Lineage: Eukaryota; Metazoa; Chordata; Aves; Galliformes; Phasianidae. The record is from RNAcentral.
GUGGCUACAACAGAAGAUACAAAGAAGAGGCAACGUAUACAUACCAUUUCUUGGAUUUUAACCGUGGGGGAGGGUUUCUGGGUAUCAGAAAGAGUGCCCUCAUGGGAUGCAUGUCACAAAGUGGGGGAGCUCCUUCUGCCAUUUCUAUGGCUGUAAUGCCGCAGGACCAGAGGUCACUUCUGUAAUCAUACGUAGCAUCUGGAUUUUCAUCACAGGCAAUAACUUCUGGAGCCAUCCAGUAUGGAGUUCCAAUGAAAGUGUUUCUCCUGCCAACUGUCCUGUCCAGCUGAGCGCUCACACCAAAAU